This 301-nucleotide ribosomal RNA is filed under the name uncultured bacterium. Its description in RNAcentral is "partial 16S ribosomal RNA". It matches the Rfam family "Bacterial small subunit ribosomal RNA", at positions 509 to 807 of the family's 1533-position model. The record is from RNAcentral.
CAGUAGCCACGGGAAUACGUAGGGUGCAAGCGUUAAUCGGAAUUACUGGGCGUAAAGCGUGCGCAGGCGGUAGUGUAAGACAGGUGUGAAAUCCCCGGGCUUAACCUGGGAACUGCGCUUGUGACUGCACAGCUAGAGUAUGGCAGAGGGGGGUGGAAUUCCACGUGUAGCAGUGAAAUGCGUAGAGAUGUGGAGGAACACCGAUGGCGAAGGCAGCCCCCUGGGCCAAUACUGACGCUCAUGCACGAAAGCGUGGGGAGCAAACAGGAUUAGAUACCCCCGUAGUCCCUGUCUCUUAUAC